CGUCAUUUGAGAAAACAUCGAUUAAAGUUACGUCACAAAAAAAAUGGUGGACGUUACCACGUGUUCGCGGCAAUUAAUGCAUUUCUUGUUUUCAAUAAUACUCUACCUUGCCACAAGAAAAAAAUGAAGUGACAUUUAUAAACAUUUCCGUGUUUUGCAAUUCCGUUUCUUUAAAACAUUUAAAUGACUGAUAAUUUAUCGCCCUUUGAAUCGACACGCCAUUUGUAAACAUCGAAGGUCGCGGAGAAAAUGAAACUACCAAAAACAAUUAUUUGAUGAUUUAUUUCGAUUGUAUAAAGAAUGACAGUUAGCGAAUCUCAAGAUCAACCACUGAGGAUUGUUUGGCUUGAUGCAAUGACCUUAAACAGUGAAAUGAUUUUCCAGGAAGGUCUAUACACAACAAGCUGGAUUUUAUGGGGAUGAAAGAAUGAAACAGAAGGAAUUAAUAUGUUCUACUGAUCAUCCAGCUGAAAUCAUGCCUGUGGAAUAGAGUGCAUGUCACAAAUGCUGAUAUGAGCAAAUAACUCCAUAUUGCACAAAUAAUGUCAUGUUUCCUGCCCUCAUGACCUGAAAAAGUUAAAAAUUCUAGUUCAAAUUACAAAUGUGUUUCAAGAAAAAGUAAAACUUAGUCAACUGUGAGAAAUAUUGGGUAAAAGUAGUGUUUUGAUGUCAUGACAGUUGUGAAGUGGUUUGAGAAGCACUAUCUAAAUUGUUCUAACAAUACAGAAUUUAACAUAAAUUUUCCAAAACUGCAUGCAUGAAAUACUAAGACAUGUCUGUUGAAUGAAUCCUGGUUGUUUCAAAACUACAACAUGUGUGACAUUAAAGCACAACCUUUGGAGGAAACAUUUUUACAAUAAAAACUGCCUUGCCAGUGUGAAUGUAGGAAGGAGUUUUCCAGAAAUGGCAGAAAACUACCAAUAUAGCAGAAAAUAUUUGUUACUGGCUGAAUAUAAUAUAUUUUAUUUCAAGAAUUAAUCAUGGUAAUCCAUGGUUAUAAUUGUGUUAAAAGAUAUUUUUACAUGACAUGACCUUUGCAGAAAUAGCUAUUUUUUUGCAAAACAUUGUGAAUUGCCAUGGUAACAGAAAUUUGACUUAAAUAUAGAUUUGUUCGAUUAUGUAGACAGCAUGUGUCUUCUUUAUAUUCUGCUAAUCAGACUAUGUUCUGCAAGAAAAUAUCUUUUAUGUGUAACCAUCAACAAAACAUGUCAUAACACAAAUCUGUCAUACAGUGGCAGAGCUGUAAUGCAGGUAGGCAUAUCAGGAAAAUAUGUAGUUCUGAAAGACAAGUUAUAUUACAUAAAAUGAUGUUUGUUUUUUAUAAAUGAUCAUAAUUGACCAGUUGUGGUGUAAAACAAAUGUAUACUGAACAGAUGCUAAAUGAAUGUUCUGAUUCUUUCUGGAAAAUUUACAAAAAACUACUAUUUUAAGAAAAUAGUGUAUUGUUGCCAUGGUAACAUUAAUUUAACUUUUAAAUUAUUUUGGAUAUCAUUAUAUGUAAACAACAUCUUUCUUGUUUAUAUGUUAUAUAUGUUAAGCUGUAUUAUGUUAGUGAAUAUAUUUUCAUAUGUAAUAAUUGCAUCAACAAAGCACUAUGUUAUUACACAAGCCUGCCUUAAAAUGGCAAUAGUUGUAACUGAGAGAGGUGUAUCUGAAAAUUAUGUAUUUCUCAAACCAUAUUACAUUAAUUUUCACGGAAUGAUGUCUACUCUCUUACUUUUAAAUAAGAAAACAGACAGCUUUUGAUGUAAAUAUAUGGAAAAACACUUCCAAUAUUCAAUUUAUUACAAAGAAAUUGCCAAAAAUGUUAGUAUUUUUGUAAGGAAAUACCACAUUGUUGCCAUGGUAAUGUUAGUAUUUUUGUAAGAAAAUACCACAUCGUUGCCAUGGUAAUGAUUCACUGAUCAGUAAUCUAAGUCUUUUGAAAUUUUAGCAAACUCACAGUUGAUAAUAACAGUCUAAUAAUUAUAUUUUCUUGCCUGAUAUUCUUUCUUACUGUUUAAUAGAUAAAGUGUCUAUAAUAAUAAGAUUAAUGUCCUAGUUUUUGGGAUGUUGUCUAAUUUGAUGUCAAAUAAAUUCUGUAUCUUGUUCAAAAGAAUGUCAUAAAACAGUUGUCUGUAAACUGUUAGCACACUAGAAAAAGUUAAUUGUGUAUUUAUUUCACAUUCUAUGUAAUUUAUUGCCAGAUUCAUCAAAAAACUGUUAAAAAAGAGGUUAAACAACAGUGUUGCUAUAGAAACGAUUUUUAGAACACAAAUAUUUUUAUACUACAUGAAAGAAAGAGACAAAAAGAAAUACAUUCCAUUAAUUGCAUGUUGCUUUUGUUAUUUUAUCAUGUAUUUUAUCUUGAUAUUAUUAAAAUAUGGUGUCAUUAUUAAGAUA
Molecule: long non-coding RNA, 2382 nt
Organism: Mercenaria mercenaria
Lineage: Eukaryota; Metazoa; Mollusca; Bivalvia; Venerida; Veneridae
Exons: 3
Source: RefSeq, a predicted model, not a curated record